RNAcentral lists this long non-coding RNA (784 nucleotides) under Malus domestica (apple). RNAcentral describes it as "long non-coding RNA (MDOM_LNC007233)". The record is from RNAcentral. Lineage: Eukaryota; Viridiplantae; Streptophyta; Magnoliopsida; Rosales; Rosaceae.
ACUGAUUCUGAUUGGUUCACAUUCUCUUUGAGUUCAUCCAAAGUUUCAGCAACUUCUAUUCUAUCCCCGUCCUCUUCAUGUGCAGGUACCUCCAGAGUUUCUUCUACAUCCUUGUCAUAUUCUGCAUGUCCAGUGGGCCCCUGUUUUUCGUUUAGGUCCUCACCGUCACCCUCCUCACAUAGGCUAUUAGUUGCCUCAAAAUUGCAGUCUAUUUCAUGCAUCUCUUUCUCUACUGUGCCAUUAUCCUUUUCAACUGAUUCUGACUGGUUCACAUUCUCUUUGAGUUCAUCCAAAGUUUCAGCAACUUCUAUUCUAUCCCCGUUCUCUUCAUGUGCAGGUACCUCUAGAGUUUCUUCUACAUCCUUGUCAUACUCCGCAUGUCCAGUGGACGCCUCUUUUUCGUUUAGGUCCUCACUGUCACCCUCCUCACAUAGGUUAUUAGUUGCCUCAAAAUUGCAGUCUGUUUCAUGCAUCUCUUUCUCUACCCUGCCAUUAUCCUCUUCAACUGAUUCUGACUGGUCCACAUUCUCUUUGAGUUCAUCCAAAGUUUCAGCAACUUCUAUUCUAUCCCCGUCCUCUUCAUGUGCAGGUACCUCCAGAGUUUCUUCUACAUCCUUGGCAUACUCUGCAUGUCCAGUGGACCGCUCUUUUUCACUUAGGUCCUCACUGUCACCCUCCUCACAUAGGUUAUUAGUUGCCUUAAAAUUGCAGUCUGUUUCAUGCAUCUCUUUCUCUACUGUGCCAUUAUCCUCUUCAACUGAUUCUGAAUGGUCCACAUUCUCUU